This is a long non-coding RNA of Corythoichthys intestinalis (scribbled pipefish), 1757 nucleotides long. RefSeq lists it as uncharacterized. The transcript has 2 exons. Lineage: Eukaryota; Metazoa; Chordata; Actinopteri; Syngnathiformes; Syngnathidae. The record is from RefSeq and is a predicted model, not a curated record.
AGGAACUAUAGGAGUUUCAUGCUCUUUGUUGUCAUGGAAACAGCUGUUGUAACAUGAGUCAGAGCACCAAAGCUGAUGAAUUUUUAGCGGAAUACUGUAUUUCAGUUCUUUAAUCACAUCUCGUAUACAUUUUGGUUUAUGACAUCCGGUGGCAUCCUUGCAAGAUGCUCAAAAAUGUUAUCUUGCAAGAAUGUUAUUAAUUAGUACUGGUGGCCUUAGAGCAGGGGUGGGCAAACUAUUCCACAAAUGGCCGCAGUGGGUGCGGGGUUUUUUUGCAACCCAUUAAGAGGACACCUUUUCACCGAUCUGAAGUGCAAUCAGUUGAUUGCAGGCAGGUGCUUCUCAUUUCUGCUGAAACCUCAUUGGAUAAACUAUUUAAACUAUCUGUGCUGGGUCAGUUGGAACAAAGACCAGGACCCACUGCGGCCCUCGAGAACCAGUUUGCCCACCCCUGCCUUAGGGCCCAAGUACACCAGAUGCAUGAUCGUUGCGGUUCCGGUCCGGUUCAGUGUUGACUGCGUGCCACGCAGUACGUCAAAAACAGGCAAAUCAUACCGGCUGCGCACGGCUGCAGUCCACCAACUCCGUUCCCUCUUGAGCGCUCGCGUGAUCGCGUGCUAUAAUGUGCAAUUUAAAACAACGAAAAACACACUGUUUAUACUCAUCAGAGAAGCAGAGAGAGAGCACAUUUUUUCUUUGCAUAUUGAUAUUUUAUGUCUGUCUCUUAAUUCCAGAUUGACUGCAUCAUUUUGAGAUCAGGGCUUCGUGUGUGGGGGGAAGGGGGCGGGGCCCUAUUAUGUCCUUGGUUGUGUCGAUGGGUUUAUAUCUUUGUGCACAUUUGAAAUUAUGGCACAUAACAUCUCAUAGAGCUGUUAUAAACAACUGUUAAAUAAUCUGUAAUAUUUAUAAAAUGGAUAGCGAAUUAUAUACUACACGAACUAAAAAACAGCGUACUUGGAAUUGGCGUCUCAACACUGCAGAUUCCUGUGCCCAGCGCAAACUGUUGGUUUUUCUAUGAAAAGUCAAGUAAAAUGUAGGAAGGAAAAAAAGAAACGUCUUGAAUAGACCACCAGGUCGAAACUUGUGGGUGUCUCUUUAUUCUCUUUCGUACUUUUCCCCCCCGACUCUGUAUACAAACCGACAUAGGGAAUGGGACGUACUACGUCAUUGUUUGGACCCGCCUCCAUGCUGGCAAUAUAAUUCACUUCCGGGCCGGCAGAGUCAAUGCGGAUUGUAACGUGUGAUAGUGCUAAGCUAACUCUUUCGGUGUUUUAGAAAGAAAAUAUGGGUGCUUUAUUGUUGCGUUACCGGGUGCAACAGCGUCUCCUACGACAAAAAAGGGGUGAGGAAAAAUGGACUCACUUUUCACCGUUUUCCUGCAUGGAGGACCAAAUAUCAGAUCACGAAGGUACGACGGAUGGCUGGAUUGCAGCGGUUCGUCGGAAAAGCAUUUCUUAUGAUCAUAUUUCUGCUGGAAUGAGAGUGUGUUCCUGUCAUCUCUACUCUUGUAAACCUGCUGACAACACAUCCCGAUUGGUCACCAUCUCUCUUCUUGGAUUAUUUGACAAAGAAAAUUUGUUCAAUGGAGUGGUUCCAUUUGUCCUGUGUCGGACUCAAACAAGCCCCUGCAGCAGACGCCAUCUGGGUCUGCCCUUCUCGUCGAUGAACUGCGGGCUUUUAACUUGUGAAAAUGCAAGAACUUUAAUGCACAUAUUUAUUCUGCCUGGCUAUUUAACUAUGGCCAGUGACGUUUUUUU